Molecule: long non-coding RNA, 2328 nt
Filed under: Homo sapiens (human)
Lineage: Eukaryota; Metazoa; Chordata; Mammalia; Primates; Hominidae
Description: non-protein coding lnc-CDY1B-10:1
Source: RNAcentral
CCUGCGUUCAGUGAGGCCUCCCGUGGCGUCAGCAUGUUCGUGUGGAGCAAUGUGGAAGGUCAUUCUGUGGCCAUGUUCCCCUGGUACUCCAUCCCCUUCCUGAACCCUCCCUGCAGCCACACGAGGCCCAGCAACCUGCCAGUCACUCAGUGGCCUCCAACCAGAGAAAACAACCUGCCAAGUUGGCAGCUGUUGCUCACGAGCAUCCACCAGGUGGGACAGGGAGUGUUGACCCUGGGCGGCCCCCUGGAGCCACCUGCCCUGAAAGCCCAGGGCCCGCAACCCCACACACUUUGGGGGUGGUGGAACCUGGUAAAAGCUCAUCUCCCACCAUGGAGGAGGAGCCCUGGGCCCCUCAGGGGAGUCCCUGCUGGACAGUGAGACAGAGAAUGACCAUGAUGAUGCUUUCCUCUCCAUCAUGUCUCCUGACACCCAGUUGCCUCUACCACUCAGAUGAUGUCAGGCCCAGUUCCUCAGUGCCCUGCACAAGGAACAGGGCUCAUCUUCUGAGAAGGAUGGACGCAGCCCCAACAAAUGGGACAAGGACCACAUCCGGUGUCCCAUGAGUGGCGGUCAUGAUCUUCAGCAAGCGGCACCAGGCCUGGCAGGGCACACCAGGGUCACCCCAACCAGGAUAACUGGACCGUCAGCCAGAUGCUGAGCAAGUGGUGGUACACCCUGGGGCCCAAUGAGAGGCAGAAAUACCAUGAACUGGCCUUCCAGGUGAAGGUGGCCCACUUGCAAUAAGGACUGAAAGAAGUUCAGCUCAGAGGCCAAGCCCACAAGCCAGGGGCUAGCAGGAGUGUAACAAAGGCUCGUGGGAGUGGAGCAUGUCAGAGACUGGCACUGCCACUGCCCCUGGGGUGUCCUCUGAACUCCUGUCAGUUGCAGCCCAAACACUCCAGAGCUCGGAUACCAAGGAGCAGCUUCUGUGGGGCAGAAUGGCUGCACACAGUCAGGGAACCUGGCUCAGCCUGGCCCAAGCCUUCUCCCACAGGGGGGUACACAGCCUGGAUGGCAGGGAAAUAGACCAUCAGGCACUACAGGAACUGACACAGGUGGUAUCUGGCACUGCAUCAUACUCUGGCCCAAAGCCUUCUACUCAGUAUGGAGCUCCAGGCCACUUUGCAGCCCCUGGUGAGGGAGGUGACCAGUGGGCAGCCCUGCUGCUGCCCACCUGAGCUGGUCAUUCCCAGCACAUGGCCAGUGAGGACAUAGCGAGUGACAAGGAGCACACGGUCAUCCAUGAGGAAUAGGGUGUGAUGAUGUCAUUGCUGAUGAUGGCUUUAGCACCACUGACACUGAUCUCAAGUUCAAGGAGUGGGUGACCGACUGAGAGUGGGGACAACUCUGGGGAGGAGCCAGAGGGCAACAAGGGCUUUAGUGGGAAGGUAUUUGCACCUGUCAUUCCUUCCUCCUUUACUCCUGCUGCCCCUUGCUGGAUCCUGAGCCCCCAGGGUCCCCCGAUCCACCUGCAGCUUUUGGCAAAGUCUAUGGUCCCACCCUGUCCUCCUCCUACACAUACUCGGAUGCUUCCUCCUCAAUCUUGGCACCCACCUCCUUCUUACUGGGCCCAGGAGCCUUCAAAGCCCAGGAGUCUGGUCAAGGCAGCAGAGCGGGCCCCCUACAGCCCCUACCCCUGGGGAUGUGGACCCAGGGAUGCCUUCCAAGGUGACCUGUUUCCUCCCAAUGGAUCCUUCCACCUUCUGGUGCAAGAGACCUGAAAGUGUGGGUGACCUGGAGCUACCAGGCUCCUCAGUCAUCAGGGUCCCUCCCAACCUGGGCUUUUGGGGUCGGGGAAGAGGGAACCCCACAGACAUGGAUCCCACACUGGAGGACCCCACCACACCCAAAUGCAAGAUGAGAAGAUGCUCCAGCUGCAGCCCAAAGCCCAACACCCCCAAGUGUGCCAUGUGUGAUGGGGACAGCUUCCCCUUUGCCUGUACAGUUGGAGAAGCCAAGGACAGGCUCAGGGAACUGGAGACCGAGUAGGCGCUGUCCUCUUCACUGCACGCGCCCUGGACCAGUGCCAGCCCUGAUCAUGCAGCAUUUCCAGGCCCCCUUCUUCUUCCUGUCCACUAGGCCACAGCCGCCCUCCAGGCCCACUAUGUACACAUCUUCCCCUCCAAGGUUUGUUCUGCCCCUGCCCUGACUCCCAGCCCUGUGGGGGUCCUGACCACACCUCACCUGGCUCAGACUCUGGCGCAACCCUGGCUGCCCUGCCACUGCCUCUGCCCCAGAGUUGGGGCCUUGACAGCCUGGCUGGAAGGGGACACCCUAGCCUUGCCUCAACACCUGGGGGUCUCCAUAACUACCACAGGCAGGUAG